RNAcentral lists this ribosomal RNA (1046 nucleotides) under uncultured Rhodocyclaceae bacterium. RNAcentral describes it as "bacterial SSU rRNA". It matches the Rfam family "Bacterial small subunit ribosomal RNA", at positions 26 to 1064 of the family's 1533-position model. Lineage: Bacteria; Pseudomonadati; Pseudomonadota; Betaproteobacteria; Rhodocyclales; Rhodocyclaceae. The record is from RNAcentral.
UAUUUGUACGCUGGCGGCAUGCCUUACACAUGCAAGUCGGACGGCAGCGCGGGGGCAACCCUGGCGGCGAGUGGCGAACGGGUGAGUAAUACAUCGGAACGUACCCAGGAGUGGGGGAUAACGUAGCGAAAGUUACGCUAAUACCGCAUAAACUGUGAGCAGAAAAGCAGGGGAUCGCAAGACCUUGCGCUUUUGGAGCGGCCGAUGUCGGAUUAGCUAGUUGGCGGGGUAAAAGCCCACCAAGGCGACGAUCCGUAGCGGGUCUGAGAGGACGAUCCGCCACACUGGGACUGAGACACGGCCCAGACUCCUACGGGAGGCAGCAGUGGGGAAUUUUGGACAAUGGGCGCAAGCCUGAUCCAGCCAUGCCGCGUGAGUGAAGAAGGCCUUCGGGUUGUAAAGCUCUUUCGGUGGGGAAGAAAUCGCAUUUUCAAAUAGAAAAUGUGGAUGACGGUACCCGCACAAGAAGCACCGGCUAACUACGUGCCAGCAGCCGCGGUAAUACGUAGGGUGCGAGCGUUAAUCGGAAUUACUGGGCGUAAAGCGUGCGCAGGUGGUUAUAUAAAUCAGAUGUGAAAUCCCCGGGCUCAACCUGGGAAUGGCAUUUGAGACUGUAUGACUAGAGGAUGGCAGAGGGGGGUAGAAUUCCACGUGUAGCAGUGAAAUGCGUAGAGAUGUGGAGGAAUACCGAUGGCGAAGGCAGCCCCCUGGGCUAUAACUGACACUCAUGCACGAAAGCGUGGGGAGCAAACAGGAUUAGAUACCCUGGUAGUCCACGCCCUAAACGAUGUCAACUGGAUGUUGGGAGGGUUAAACCUCUUAGUGUCGUAGCUAACGCGAGAAGUUGACCGCCUGGGGAGUACGGCCGCAAGGCUAAAACUCAAAGGAAUUGACGGGGACCCGCACAAGCGGUGGAUGAUGUGGAUUAAUUCGAUGCAACGCGAAAAACCUUACCUACCCUUGACAUGCCAGGAUUCUGCUGAGAGGUGGAAGUGCUCGAAAGAGAACCUGGACCACAGGUGCUGCAUGGCUGUCGUCAGCUCGUG